This 491-nucleotide ribosomal RNA is filed under the name uncultured bacterium. RNAcentral's name for it is "bacterial SSU rRNA". It matches the Rfam family "Bacterial small subunit ribosomal RNA", at positions 28 to 507 of the family's 1533-position model. The record is from RNAcentral.
GAUGAACGCUAGCUACAGGCUUAACACAUGCAAGUCGAGGGGAAACGACAUCGAAAGCUUGCUUUGAUGGGCGUCGACCGGCGCACGGGUGAGUAACGCGUAUCCAACCUGCCCAUCACUUGGGAAUAACCUUGCGAAAGUAAGACUAAUACCCAAUGAUAUCCCACGAAGGCAUCCGAAUGGGAUUAAAGAUUUAUCGGUGAUGGAUGGGGAUGCGUCUGAUUAGCUUGUUGGCGGGGUAACGGCCCACCAAGGCUACGAUCAGUAGGGGUUCUGAGAGGAAGGUCCCCCACAUUGGAACUGAGACACGGUCCAAACUCCUACGGGAGGCAGCAGUGAGGAAUAUUGGUCAAUGGGCGAGAGCCUGAACCAGCCAAGUAGCGUGCAGGACGACGGCCCUAUGGGUUGUAAACUGCUUUUAUAAGGGAAUAAAGUGAGUCUCGUGAGACUUUUUGCAUGUACCUUAUGAAUAAGGACCGGCUAAUUCCGUG